RNAcentral lists this small RNA (3469 nucleotides) under Pongo abelii (Sumatran orangutan). RNAcentral describes it as "retained intron". Lineage: Eukaryota; Metazoa; Chordata; Mammalia; Primates; Hominidae. The record is from RNAcentral.
AAGCGCCCGCGAGCCGCCGGCCGGGAGGGAUCCGGUUCCUGAAGAGAAAUAUGAAACGCAAUGGGAGCAGAAAUUGUUUGAAUAGGAGAAGUAGGUUUGGUUCUCGAGAAAGAGACUGGCUAAGAGAAGAUGUAAAGAGAGGCUGUGUUUACCUUUAUGGAGCAGACACUACCACUGCCACUACAACCACCACCACCUCCUCUUCCACUUCCUCCUCCUCCUCUUCCUCUGACUUACAUCUCGUCCUUUGCACUGUAGAGACACCAGCAUCAGAAAUAUGUGCUGGAGAGGGAAGAGAAAGUCUUUAUUUGCAACUUCAUGGAGACCUGGUCAGGAGACUGGAACCUACUGAACGACCUCUUCAGAUCGUUUAUGAUUACUUAUCCAGGCUGGGAUUUGAUGAUCCUGUGCGCAUACAGGAGGAGGCUACAAAUCCUGACCUCGGCUGUAUGAUUCGAUUUUAUGGUGAAAAACCGUGCCACAUGGAUCAUUUGGAUCGAAUCCUACUGUCUGGCAUCUAUAAUGUACGCAAGGGAAAGACCCAGCUGCAUAAGUGGGCUGAGCGCCUAGUUGUCCUCUGUGGUACCUGCCUUAUUGUUUCCUCAGUGAAGGAUUGUCAAACUGGAAAGAUGCACAUUUUGCCUCUGGUUGGUGGAAAGAUAGAAGAAGUGAAGCGACGGCAGUACUCCCUUGCUUUCAGCUCAGCAGGAGCCCAAGCUCAGACCUAUCAUGUCAGCUUCGAGACUUUGGCCGAGUACCAGCGAUGGCAACGGCAAGCAUCCAAGGUGGUGUCCCAGCGAAUCAGUACCGUGGAUCUCUCAUGUUACAGCCUCGAGGAGGUUCCUGAGCAUCUCUUCUAUAGUCAAGAUAUUACCUACCUCAACUUGCGACACAACUUCAUGCAGUUAGAAAGACCCGGAGGCCUCGAUACACUCUACAAAUUUUCUCAACUGAAGGGCCUGAACUUGUCCCAUAAUAAACUUGGGUUGUUUCCUAUAUUGUUAUGCGAGAUCUCUACCCUGACUGAGCUCAACGUUUCCUGUAAUGGAUUUCGUGACCUACCAAGUCAAAUUGGCAAUCUGCUAAAUCUUCAAACCCUCUGUCUUGAUGGCAACUUUCUGACUACUUUACCUGAAGAAUUGGGAAAUCUACAACAGCUUUCCUCCUUGGGAAUUUCCUUCAACAACUUUAGUCAAAUUCCUGAGGUUUAUGAGAAACUCACUAUGUUAGAUAGAGUGGUUAUGGCAGGAAAUUGCCUGGAAGUCCUGAACUUAGGGGUGCUGAAUAGGAUGAACCAUAUCAAGCAUGUGGAUUUAAGGUAAGGUGAUUUUUUACCACAGCUUCCUUCAAAUUGACUCUGGUGGACCUUUAUGUCUUCUCUUUAUGAAGAUUUGUUUAAAACAUUAGGGUUUUAAAAAUUUUGUUGUUGUUUUGAGACAAGAUCUCACUUUGUCACCCAAGCUAGCAUACAGUGACACGAUCUCGGCCCACUGCAGUCUUGACCUCCCGUUCUCAGGCGAUUCUCCCACCUCAGCCUCCCGAGUAGUAGGGACUUCAGGUGCACACCACGAGGCCUGGCUAAUUUUUUUCUACUUUUAGUAGAGAUGAGGUUUCACCAUGUUGUGCAGGCUGGUCUUGAACUCCUGGACUCGAGCAGUCCACCCACCUCAGCCUCCCAAAGUGCUGGGAUUACAGCCACCACACCUGGCCCAUAACUUUAGGUUUUUUGAAUAGUAUAGAAAUAUAUAUUUUCAAAGAUAUAGUAAGACUUUACUUAUCACUCAGUAGCAGAGAGAUUAAGGAUCAGGUAGUUGUACCAUGUGAUAUAGACUAUCAAAUUGCCUUUGACAAAGAUUGUUCUCACUUACCCUCCCAUCAGUGUAUAUUUUUUAUUUUAAAAAUUUUUUAUAGAGAUGGGGUCUUGCUGUGUUGCCCAGGCUGGUCUUGAACUCCCUGGCUCAAGUAGUCCUCCUGCUUUGGCCUCCUAAAGUGUUGGGAUUACAGGUGUGAGCCAGUGUGCCCGACCCCUCCACCAUUUUAUGAGAAUUCCCAUUUUCUCAUAUAUUUGUCAAUAUUGGAUUUUAGCAUUUCUUUUUAUUUAUCAUCAGUCUAGUAGGUUGAAAAAAGUAUUUCAUUGUUUUAAUCAAUGUUUAUUUACAUAGCAGUGAGGUUGAACAUCUUUUUUAUAUGUAUAUUAGUAGUUUGUAGAUUUCCAUAAAUGACCAUUUUUCUGUUGAGUCAUUGGGUUUCUUCUUGAUAUCCAUUGUAUUACAAUUAAAAUGUUAAAGGUUUCAUUACUAAGAACUUUUUAUGAGAGUUUUAUUUUCUAGUCAUAAUAUUUUCCUAAAGGAAGCUGGUAAAAAGAUACCUACUGGAUGUUCUGUUAUUUACAGUAAGCCAUUGAUGUAGCUUGUAAAGACAGUAAGAGAGAGUUUUUGUUUUUGUUUUUGUUUUUUAACCGCACCAGAGACUUGAGAGAUAUUUAUAGAAAUAUAGGAAAGUGAGAACAGACCUGCAUAAAUUAAAUCAUACACUCGUGUAGAAAAAACCCAGAGGUCAUUUUCUAUAAUUUGCCAUUGAACUCUUCCAUAUAUAUAUAUGCAGAUUAUUUCCUUGUCUGUUAAUUAAUUUUGUGUUUGAACCUUAGCACUAGAGAUAGAGCAGGCAUAGCAACAGGAAGAAGUAUGGCUCCAUCCUUAUACUCUGGACAUGGUACUGUCGUGACUGCUUUGCUGCUCACUAACUCAAAAGGUUGUGUUCAUCUUCCUGUUCAUUUGUCCUACUUAGUGCCCACCUGACAUUAUUAGGUAUUUGGAUGUAAGUGUUUAACUGUUCAUAGAUAUGGCCUCUUUUUUCCUUCUCUUUAUUAAUUUGUAUAUGUAUUUGCCAGUUUGGAUUGUCUAACUUGGCUGUACCUUGAGUUAUUCAUCAGCUGUAGUUAUUUAUAUAGUACCUUGCAAAAUGAGGCGAGUAGUGAAAUUCUUAAAUUGUUUAGGAAACAGAGAAAGGGGGCCGGGCACGGUGGCUCACGCCUGUAAUCCCAACACUUUGGGAGGCCGAGGCAGGCAGAUCAUCUGAGGUUAGGAGUUCAAGCCUGGCCAACAUGGUGAAACCCCAUGUCUACUAAAAAUACAAAAAAUUAGCCUGGCAUGGUGGGGGUGCCUCUAAUCCCAGCAACUUGGGAGGCUGAGGCAGGAGAAUCGCUUUAACCCGGGAGGCAGAGGUUGCAGUGAACUGAGAUCACGCCAUUGCACUCCAGCCUGGACAACACAGUGAAACUCCAUCUCAAAAAAAAAAAAAAGGAAACAGAGAAAGGGAUCAUACCUGUCCUACUUUUUAUUUUUAUUCUGGUAAGCACAUUUAAUAGACUCUUAUUUAUGAUUAUUUUCUUGUUUCUGCAUAUUAAGGAUGAACCAUUUGAAAACCAUGGUUAUUGAAAAUCUGGAGGGAAAUAAACACAUCACCCACG